AGCGAACGCUGGCGGCGUGCUUAACACAUGCAAGUCGAGCGAAGGUGUUUCAAGGGUAACCUUGAGAUACACUUAGCGGCGGACGGGUGAGUAAUACGUGGAUAACUUACCUCUAGGCCUGGGAUAACCCCGGGAAACUGGGGCUAAUACCUGAUAAGACCACAUUGUCUACGGACAAAGGGGUAAAAGGUGGCUGUGCAAACAGCUAUCGCCAAAAGAUAGGUUCACGUCCCAUCAGGCAGUGGUGAGGUAAUGGCUCACCAAACCAAAGACGGGUAGCCGGCCUUGGCGGGUGAACGGCCACACGGGGACUGAGACACGGCCCCGACUCCUACGGGAGGCAGCAGUGGGGGAAUAUUGGGGCAAUGGGCGCAAGCCUGACCCAGCGACGUCGCGUUGGGGAAGAA
This 407-nucleotide ribosomal RNA is filed under the name uncultured bacterium. RNAcentral describes it as "bacterial SSU rRNA". It matches the Rfam family "Bacterial small subunit ribosomal RNA", at positions 29 to 412 of the family's 1533-position model. The record is from RNAcentral.